Schistosoma haematobium is the source of this 45-nucleotide non-coding RNA. The record is from Rfam. NCBI's taxonomy places the organism in Eukaryota, Metazoa, Platyhelminthes, Trematoda, Strigeidida, Schistosomatidae.
AUUCAGCUGACGAGUUGCGUAUAAGACGAAACGCGCGUCUUCAAU